RNAcentral lists this ribosomal RNA (513 nucleotides) under uncultured bacterium. RNAcentral's name for it is "bacterial SSU rRNA". It matches the Rfam family "Bacterial small subunit ribosomal RNA", at positions 30 to 530 of the family's 1533-position model. The record is from RNAcentral.
AUUGAACGCUGGCGGCAUGCCUUACACAUGCAAGUCGAACGGUAACAGGUCUUCGGAUGCUGACGAGUGGCGAACGGGUGAGUAAUACAUCGGAACGUGCCCGAUCGUGGGGGAUAACGGAGCGAAAGCUUUGCUAAUACCGCAUACGAUCUACGGAUGAAAGCAGGGGACCGCAAGGCCUUGCGCGGACGGAGCGGCCGAUGGCAGAUUAGGUAGUUGGUGGGAUAAAAGCUUACCAAGCCGACGAUCUGUAGCUGGUCUGAGAGGACGACCAGCCACACUGGGACUGAGACACGGCCCAGACUCCUACGGGAGGCAGCAGUGGGGAAUUUUGGACAAUGGGCGCAAGCCUGAUCCAGCCAUGCCGCGUGCAGGAUGAAGGCCUUCGGUUGUAACUUAGCUUUGUACGGUAACGAAAGACGUACUUCUAAUAAAGUAGGUCGACUGACGGUACCGUAACGGAAUAAGUACACCGGCCGUAACUAACCGUGUCCACGCGGCCGGCGGUACGUA